Molecule: long non-coding RNA, 442 nt
Organism: Priapulus caudatus
Lineage: Eukaryota; Metazoa; Priapulida; Priapulimorpha; Priapulimorphida; Priapulidae
Exons: 3
Source: RefSeq, a predicted model, not a curated record
AUUGAGUGAAAUCAAAGCGCAUUUAAUCCCUUACGGUGCUCAGGCAUCUACCGAUUGACGUCACGCCCGUCUCGACUGGACGUCACGAGAGCGAGACUGCGAGAGAGCUCAGAGUUCAACGAAGGAAAUGAAUUCGGACGAUAUGUUUCCGGAAUCUAAUAAAAAUUGGACGCAAUUGAUCACGAAAAUGUGAUGCUUGGCACAAACUACACACCCAGUCGGCCAUCUUGCGUACUCAACCAGUUGGUGACCUUCAUCUAUUUCCCCCUUUAAAAUGAGCAAUCGUAUGACGGAAAAGAAUUGAAACUCAAUAGUAGAGUCGAAAACAGAAAGUUCGUUUUCAAAAAGCAGCAAUUGAUUAACACAGUGUAGAAAAAUAAAAUUAAAAGUAUACUUGAAAGAGAAGAAGCCUGAGGAUAGAUGAUAAUAAAAGCUUUGUAGA